CUGAUUCAAUGGACAUGACAUGUGCAAAACAUUUAACAUUUUGAAUAAUGUUUUUCUAAUAAUAAUUUUCUUUUAUAUAAGGUUUAAAACUCAUUAUAUGAUAUGUAUGCAUGUUUGUAUAAUGCAGCAAUAAUUUCUACAUUAAUACUCUUAAACAUCCAAAGCAAAGGAACAUUGCUUUUAUUACUGUUCUUCAUUUUUAAACCAAAGUCUUGAUACUUGUAAUCUAAUUUUAUUUUCAUUGUAUAUAGAGAGCAUCAUGAACUAUAUUUUAGGAUUUAAUAACAGUAGAUUGUAUAUUGCUCUAAUUUUAAAUUUGGAAUUGAAUUGUAUAUAGCAUCAUUGCAUAUGAAUUGUACAUGCAAUUUCUGUAAGGUCCCAUGUCAGAUUUUUUGUACUAAAUAGAUCUCAUCUUUUAUAUAAGUUUUCCCAUAUUUCAAUAUUAAAUGUAUUGGUUUGUAUGUACAUGUAAACAUUGUUUCAGAUAUUUGUUAUCUGGCCUAAAAUGAAAGUCUUUGAAAUCUAUUAAGUUCUAAAUAUUGUGUAAAAGUAGUAAACAUUAGAUUUGAGUGUUCCUCAUGAAGGUAAAUCCAUAAAAGGUGUUUCAGAGGCAUCUAAUUGAUAAAGUGUUGUUUUCUUUUAUUUAUUUUUCAUUAAUGAUCACAUUUCAAUUUUUAAUUGUAAUAUUCUACUGUAGCAUGUUGAGGUAUCAUAUAUAUAAUCAAUCAC
Molecule: long non-coding RNA, 729 nt
Filed under: Mytilus galloprovincialis (Mediterranean mussel)
Lineage: Eukaryota; Metazoa; Mollusca; Bivalvia; Mytilida; Mytilidae
Source: RNAcentral